This is a long non-coding RNA of Penaeus indicus, 386 nucleotides long. RefSeq lists it as uncharacterized. The transcript is spliced from 3 exons. The record is from RefSeq and is a predicted model, not a curated record. NCBI's taxonomy places the organism in Eukaryota, Metazoa, Arthropoda, Malacostraca, Decapoda, Penaeidae.
CACACAUACACACACACUUUAACACUUGCGCAGUCACAGCGCAACUGUACUUAUAUCAUCAGACUUACUCACAUAUAAAGGGACACAAUUUAGAACAGUAUCUACCUCUAAAACCCGACACUGACCGAUACAACACAGUAAAAAGGGCGGAGGAACCUGCAGGACUCCAGCCAUGAACGCGAGAGGGACGUCUGGCGCCCCCGGAGUGGCCCUUCGCUCGACCUACGGCUGGGUGUCCUGGGUGAGCGAUGAGGACGUCCGCAGGGUGCUCACGUGGGACCUCGUGUUGGGCGCAGUCAGGCGUGCCCUCGAGGGGGUAUACAGGGGCCCGAGUCAUCCCAUGGGCGCCGUGCAGCCCUUGCGUGUCAACGUGCCCGCGGCUGGAC